RNAcentral lists this long non-coding RNA (1035 nucleotides) under Sus scrofa (pig). RNAcentral's name for it is "lncRNA (ENSSSCG00050037704.1)". Lineage: Eukaryota; Metazoa; Chordata; Mammalia; Artiodactyla; Suidae. The record is from RNAcentral.
GUUUCCGUGAGCUGUGUUGUAGGUUGCAGACCCGGCUCGGAUCCCGCGUUGCGGUGGCUCUGGUGUAGGCCGGUGGAUACAGAUCCGAUUUGACCCCUAGCCUGGGAACCUCCAUAUGCCGCGGGAGAGGCCCAAAGAAAUAGCAACAACAACAACAACAAAAAGACAAAAAGACAAAAAAAAAAAAAAAAAAAAAAAAAAAAAAAGUGGGGCCAACAUGGUCCCAGCCCUCUGAAUUUUUGACAGCUCCUCUUAAAACCAUUUUAUGAAUAUUUUCAGACAGAUGCGCAGAAGUAGAAUAGUACAGUGAAUCGCCCACCACUUAGGUUCAACAAUUAUCCAGACUUGGCUUCAUCUAGCCUCUACUUUUUUGGGGAUCCUGUCUGAAUUUGGGGAGACAGGAAUUAUUACAUCAGCUGCCCUGGUGUUCUGAGCAUGCCCUGAACUGUGUAUACCCUUGGAGGUUUUUUGUUUUUAUUCAGAGCAGCUUGAUGUAUUAUCAUAUAUCGUGAGCAAGUGUCUUUUCCUGCGUGUAUAUGAAAGGGAUCACAGAUCCUUCUAGGUCUUGCGAUUGCAUUGCUUUUAUUGCUGGCUUCCUCUGGCACCAUGUUGACUGUUUCCCGCUCAGUCCUUCCUCAAGGGAGGAGGUUCCCACAGCCGUGGAAGGGACCAGUUCUCCGGCAGCCCAUUGCUCCAGUCCGUUGGUGGUCACCGGACUAUCUGCUUUCUUUUGUAAGGAUGCAGCGAAUCCCUGCUCCUCCUCCCCAGGGCUUGGUCCGACGAAAGUUCCUGGGAAUCGGAGUUCCUGUCGUGGCACAGCGGAAACACAUCCGACGAGGAACCAUGAGGUGGCGGGUUCGCUCCCUGGCCUCACUCACUGGGUUAAGAAUCCGGCAUGGCUGUGAGCUGUGGUGUAGGUCGCAGAUGUGGUUCGGAUCCCGCGUUGCUGUGGCUCUGGCACAGGCCGGCGGCCCCAGCUCCGAUUCGACCCCUAGCCUGGGAACCUCCCUCCAUAUGCCGCAGGUAUGGCCCUAA